CUACAGUUCAGUACAAAAGGUGUGACACAAAUACAGUCGAUAUUACAGUAGGCUACUAUCAUUUGUGUUACUGUGUUAUGUGAUGUUGUAUUUUUCCCUGAUUGGAUGACUGUCUCCAGAAAGGGAAGUGGGUGGGGUGCUUUAAGAGUCUCGCGCAAUAACAGCCCUCAUAUCAAAUAGUCGUCCCCAGGCAGCAAAGCGCAAGAGCACACAUGCUUUUAGGACGAGCGAACAUCACAGAGCACGAAGUUUGACCAAACCGGACUCUUGUAACGGAUAAAGACUUGUCACCUCUCAAGAACUCAGUCUAUCUGCUGACCACGUCUGUCUGAGGCGUGUAACAGAUUUUGAGGCUCGUCCGGGAUUGGCGCCACCUGCUGGAGGUAUCUGAUCCAGAGAUUUAUGAACCAGGGACAGCAUGACGCUUGACCAGAGCGAGAGGGCUACAAGUGGGCGACUUAGCAGCGGCAGGUGACCAGCAUGAAAGGGGAUCCUGACUGAGAGGAGUGCAGCACUAUGUACCUUAAGUGUUUGGAAGCGUGCAUCAUGUCCAAUGACAAAAAGGGUCUGGGCCAUUAAGAAAAGGUUGCCUACACUGGCAUCUGAUUUAAGUUUUCCAGUUGAAAGUCUUGAUGUGGUACCAGAGCUAGACCCAGCUAAGUUAAACAAGUUUAUUGAGGAAGGUUGUUUUGACAGUGAGUGAAUUCAUGUGUUGCAAGACCCUACUUGAGCUACAGGAUAGGGGUAUGGCUCAGUUACUGUUUAUAAAGGAUGCUAUUGACGAGGUUAUCCAAGGAUGUGAAGGUAGUCCAGUGUCCAGAUUUAUCCGCUAAUGUAGCUACUGCUGAUACUGAAAUACAAGAGUCUGAGUGUCAGUGGAUUUUGACCAGUUAUAAGGAGCUAGGCAGAGAACUCCUUCAGUGUAAAGUAACACCUGCCACACCCACACCAGACAAACCACCUACUGUAAAGGAACUUGGCAGCUUGUCUAAAAUCCUGAGCACAGACCAUGUAGCACACCUCACAGCUGAUGGCAUUGUCGCCAUCAGAGACCUACCAUAUCUGCAGUGCAAGACGUGGGGGGGGAUCAAAUAGGUGACAACACUUCUGACAUUAGUUACAACAGCAUAUGUAAACAAAUAAGAGGGGUUAAAAUAAAAACACAGUGAAGCUGAAAUCAUCACAGGAAUCUUCCGCAUCAUCAAACCAGAACUUUAAAGACAUGCUAAUAAAUAAGAAUGAUAGGAUUGUUGCUGAGCUGAAACAUUUGUUUCGGUCUCACUUAGGAGAAAAGAGCAGCAACGUCGAGGUAAGGAUGGACCGCCUGGGCAACGGUGAUCCAGAUCUGUCAAUACGGGUGCCGUUCCUGGUUAGUCUCAUGACACUAGAGCAGCCGUUCCCAAACUAAGUGAGGCCGCCUGAUAUGAAAAUGGGGUCGUGGCAGAAUUAAGACCCCUCUCUUAUUACUCUUAUCAGAUAAAGCACUACUAAGGCAUGUAAUCAAAAUAACAAGCAAUGAAAGUGAGAGACCGGGUAGGUUGGGCCAAACCUCUCGCCACAAGAUGACACACCCACAGUGCCCAGCUUGAAGUAGAAUGGACUAAAGCACUCUUGGGAGACUGAUCGACACGUUAGCCAGUCCGCCUGUCUUAGCCUGCCUCAACUUUGAAUUGCCUUCACGCGCCACACUGAUGCCUCUGACAAGGGGCUUGCUGCUACCAAGAAACUGAUGCAUGAAUGGGGAAAACUACGCAUUGACAAUGUACCGGAGAACCAGUCAAAGACAUGAGCUAGUCUUACCAGUCCUGUACAAGCAAAUGGUCUUGAAACAUGUUAAUGAUGACAUGGUUCAUGUUGGAAGAGAGACAUUGGCGCUGUAUCAGGCAAAAGAAGACAGUCACACAUGUACGAGCACCAACUGGCAAUAUCAACCACAAGUUCACCACUAGAGCUAGUCUCUAUCGACUACAUGCAUCUGGAGGCCAGCAAAGGUGGCUUUGAUUACAUCCUGGUAGUCAUCAACCAUUUCACAAGAUUCGCACAAGCGUAUCCGACCAAGAUCAAAUCCGGAAGAACAGUAGCUGAAAUGAUAUUCAAUGACUUGAUCCCAAGGUUCGGAUACCACUCCAAGUUACACCACGAUCAAGGUUGAGAGUUUGAAAACAAGUUCUUCAAAACACUGCAGCAAAUGACUGGAGUGGUUCACUCAAGGACAUCUCCCUAUCACCCUCAGGGCAACCCUGGCUGAAAUAUUCAAUAGGACUGUACUUCAGAUGCUGAGAACGCAAACCGGCGACAGUCCUUGUACGAAACCUAAGUGAGAGAGGUGGUCCUGGAAAGUUAAGGUCAUACUGGGAAAAGACAAUAUACAUAGUGAAAGAGCAAUUGAGUUACAAUCCAGUGUACAAACUCUGUCCAAAGAUGGGUGGGAACAAGACCUGUAUCUUCCACCACAAUCUCCUGCACCUAGUCAAUGACUUACCUGCAGACUUACCCCCGCAGCCUGCACAGACAAACCCACCUAAAGAGAAAAGGAAGAGCUGACCCAAAACAAUGAUGCAAGACUCAGAUGACGAAAGCACAGGAGCACAUACCUGGAUGAUAAUACCUGUAAGCAAAGAACAAUGUGAGACUUAUCUGUGAUACUCCGAGGAACCCAGCAUGCGUAGGACCCACACAAGACGCUGUACCUACCAGAGUUAUUGCACCUGAAAGAGAAAUCCAAAGACCAGAACAGUCAGGAGGAGAACAAGAAGAGGAAUACUUACCCGCUGAACCAGCACGGUCAGACACAGAGAUGGAUAUGGACGAAGAAUACCUGUACGAAGAACACCUGUACAAGAGGAAAGACUCAUAGUAAACCCCCCACUAGUUGACACAGGUUGGACAGGCUAGGAGGUCCACACGUGAGAGAAGGCCUGCACAGAUGCUUCUUAGCACACGCUAGGUCAGCCAUCCUUCCAGCCACACACCACAAUCAACACUGAGAGGUUUAUGGGGUGCCACCUAUGACAGUCUGGGGGAAUUCCAACAUACGACAUUCCACAGCCUUACCAAACACUACCCUACCCCACACUAGUGCCUUACCGUAUUAAUAGGAAAGAAUCUAAAGUGAAACACUUAUACAUACCAAUUACAUGUAAAUAAGCGUUAUAUGUCAGGAGACAUUUUCUUUUUGUCAGGGAGUGUGACGCACACAUUUUUGACGUUUUAUUUAUUUUAUGGCGCAAUCCCUUGUUUAAUUUUCUAGGUCUCCCAUGUAUUUGCGUUGAAGGUAAUGUAUAUGGUUACCACCACUAGGGGGAGCUGUGAUGUCAAUGGGGAGCAUUAGUGGGAUUGUGAUGUCUUGGAUGUUUCUUCAGUCUUUGAAAAUGCCUGAUACAGAACACUAACUUUUCUCUGUCUUAUCAUUCAGGAAUGUAAUGUGUAAAAGCACAAUUUGAGUCUUGAAAUAUGAUGGUUAACUACAUAGUCCAUGAUUUUGGAGAUGUUUGAAGGGAGUUUUAAUUGAGUUAACUGGUUUGUAUUUUCCCCGUUAAGCAAUGGUUGCUAAUGGUUUACAUGCAAGCAAAGGCAACAAACAAGAUGGUGUCUGAAAUUUUUGACUUUUUCAACAAUGUUUUUAUCUCCUAUUUGUUUUCUUUUCUAUGAACAAAGGCUCUGUUUACUUCAGGUAAUAUUUGUACAUAUGCAAUGUGGCGAUAGAAUGUGUUUGUAUUAGCAUUCAAAAUAGCAUUUAACAGUUCGCUAACUUUAUUCUAACCAAAUGUAGCUUUGCUAAGCACUAGCUAGCUCUACGCUAUUGGGUUUCAGUUAUUGUGAGCUCGAAUAUUGAUAGUUUAGAAUGUAAUGUUUCUAUUAUUGUUUAGCACAGGGCUCCAGUGAUUUGUAGCAUUAUGGGAAUUGACACUGCUAGUACAGUGAACUCUAUAGAAUGUGAUGUAGCCUUUUCUGGUACAACUUGAUGGUUUGACAUUCCAAAUAGCUUUUAUUGGUAUAUGCUGAAUGCUAUACUGAUUGAAUAGCCUCAGGUUAUAUUCACUAUUAAUUUGACUAUUAGUGAAAGGUAAAAUGUGAGUUUUUGUAGAUGUAUGGAGAUGGCUUUUUGAAUUUGAGACCUUUAUUUUGAAACCCAAUAUGGAAUGUGAAAAUAAUUGAAUACUACAAUGCAGUUGUAAUGUAUACUUGAUGAUUUAUUUAGACAAAAAAAAAAGUGAACAAAAGAGAACUGAUACUGAACACUAACUUUUCUCAGUCUCAUCAUUCCACCCUGUUAAUUCAGGUCUAUUAACUGCUGAUCACGUCUCAGUCCGAGGCAUGUAACACUUAGCAUGCCAUGUUUGUUUACCCAUACAAAGCAGUUCAUUUUAAUCUAUUCAAACAGACCCCAUUUCAAAGGAAACAAGCACUCAUUAAGAUCAGGUGUGGUCAAUUAGUGGGCGCGGCCAACGGAAUAACGUUGUUUCUUAAUGUUUUUGGAAGAAUUUGAGAACAUGACUUUAAAGCUGCAAUAUGUAACUUUUUGGGUGACAUGACUAAAUUCACAGAAAUGUGAGUUAUAGCUCUGUCAUUUUCAUUGAAAGCAAGUCUCUAAGAAGCGGUAUAUCUGUUCUAUGUGAGCUAUUUCUAUGCGUUCUGUUCUUCAGUUUUGUUUUUGCCUCUUACUUUAGGUUUUGUACACCAGCUUCAAACAGCUGAAAAUACAAUGUUUUUGGUUAUGGGAAAGAUAUUUCACAGCAGUUUGAUGGUACAAUGAUUCUCUACAUUAUACUUGCUUGUUUUGUCAUAUAAACAGAUAUUAGGUGAACUAUUAGAAUUAGUGAUUUCUGCAUAAUGCAUCUUUAAAUUGAACCAUGAGGAAACCUGUAGGAAACGUUAUGCUGAAGUACUGAAAUUCCCUCAAAUGUUGUUUCUUAACAUUCUCUGAACUAUUUGAGAACAUUCCCAAUGUCAAACCAGUUGGAGAACAUUCCUAGAACAUCAUCAAAAUUGAGAUAUGUAACCAUGUUUGAACUUUUAGGAAACUUUCUAUUAAAGUAAUGAAAUACCAAGAACAUUAAAAACGUAUUUUUUGGUGAAGUUCCUUAAAUGUGCUGAGAAUGUUCCAAAGUCAAGCAACUAUCCUGCACUAUUCCCAGAAAGCUGUGGGAAUGUUGUAUACAAAAUAACCAUAGAACGACCACAUUCUCACCAUUCUCUAAGAAACAUAUGGUUCUCAGAACGAUAUGUGCUAGCUGGGAAUUAGCUAAUUAUAGUACCUUUGCCAAAGUGCAGCAAUAAAACGUGAAUGCUCUGACUGAAGCAGAAAAUUGGGAAUACUGUUUUGGCACAAUAUUAUUCAGCAAAAACAAUGUUAGUGUCAGUUAUGAUUUAUGACACUGUGCAAUUGUUUAUACAUUGCUCUUAAGAUUAUUUAGUUUUUUUCCAUUAUGUGGAAAGGCAUUUUGUAUGCUUUCUUGGACCAUAACAAAACAAUAUAUCAUUGUUUUGUGUCAAGGUGAUCAAACGUUAUUAAAUAUCACUAAUGUCAUGAGCCUGAUGAGAUAAUAGUAGUUAGAGGGAUCUAUUUUGGAUUUUAAACACAGGGUAUAAUCCCAUCAGAAUCUACAGUGAACACACUUCAUCUGAAUUACAAUGUCCAGCCAUGCUACUCUCAGAGAGGCCAUAUUUCUGUUAUACAUCAUCUAGCAAGAAUAUAAUGAAAUUUGACUGCUCGGGAACAGUGAGUGCACUAACGGAAAAUAAAGUUUUCAAAUAAAUCAAGGUGAACAGUGUUGUCAAUCAUGGAAUAACCUGCAGCCUCCCGUAUGAGGUGGACCAAAUACCAAAGUGCCAUGAAAUUUUAUGACUGUGUGUUAGUGUACCACACUGUAAGAACUACUUUAGAGUUACUAUGUAUGAUGUGCAUACGGUCUAUUUUGGUUUGAAAGGAGACGGGUAUCUAAGCAAUGUUAUCGAAUAAGCAAGGAAAAACAUUUUAAUAUUUACUGAAGGAAGAAUACUGGAAGUGUAACAGGUGUCAGUGUGAUGCUAACAGCUUAGCUUCCUCCACUAUCCGACUGCCCCCAUACUGGGCUCAAACCAGUGAUCCUCUGCUUUGCAACACAUGUGACUGCCUUCCUUGACAACGUGUAAACCGAUUUGAGAUAUACAAAUGGUGCGAGUGCACUCAAUUGUCUCAGUUCAAUUCCAACCGCGAUGUCCCAGUCAAAUGUCCCUCUAUAGAGGACGAUGAUCAUUGUAAAAGCAGUAGAUGACGAAGUAGUUUGUAGAAGAUGGCAGUUCGCACUGGUGCCUUAACGGGGGUACAAAACCGGUCAAGAGUAUCUGUUCACAAACAUCACAGGAAAAUAUGACCCAAUUCUCUUCUGGUUCAGCACACUCUUAUCUUUAGUAGUAAAUGAAUUGUAGACAGCAUCCAACGUAAUCGUACGCCGUUUCGUGGUGGUUUGCCAUCUGCUUUACAGAGACGAUAAUGCCUGUGCAGUAGCGCUCUGGAGCAGUGCGAGUUAAUAUCUUUGGCUGAAUUUAAUUGGACUUCUCUAUGGAGGCGUCUAUGGGAGUUGUCUUUUUGGGCUGGCUCGACUUCUGCUAAACUGCAAUUCCGAAAGUGUACUGAGCACAGUGGAAAGUGUGCUUCUUGACUGGAACCCUGGG
This 6657-nucleotide long non-coding RNA is filed under the name Salmo salar (Atlantic salmon). RNAcentral's name for it is "lncRNA (ENSSSAG00000118453.1)". Lineage: Eukaryota; Metazoa; Chordata; Actinopteri; Salmoniformes; Salmonidae. The record is from RNAcentral.